Molecule: long non-coding RNA, 391 nt
Filed under: Lathyrus oleraceus (garden pea)
Lineage: Eukaryota; Viridiplantae; Streptophyta; Magnoliopsida; Fabales; Fabaceae
Description: Pisum sativum (pea) long non-coding RNA (PSAT_LNC024760)
Source: RNAcentral
GAUAUCUCGGUAUGUGAAGAAUUAAAAAUAAGUAACCUUGUCAUUUAGCUCCUUAAUCACCAUAUUCAACCAUCAUCUUUCUUAAAAAAAAACUCAUACAUAAACCACCAUAUAUCUCCAAAACUCACUCUUGUUUUUCUCUAAGAAUACACUCAAAUAAUCUUCCUCUCUACUACUACCAAGUAAAACUCAUGUUCACAUUUUAUGUCAAACCAUCUUAGUUUUCAUGUGAAACAACAAUCUUCUUCUUCAUGUGAAGCACACCAUAACACACCUCUCAUCUCCUUAUAACAACCUCACAACACCACCAUUUCCUCACUUUUCUCCCACAUAAAUAAAACAACCACCACCUCACGGAAACUACAACUACUUUUCUCUCUUUCAGGAAAAC